CACAAAGAUCUGUACAAGAACGUUAUGAUGGAGGAUCACCAGCCCCUCACAUUAACAGUUAAAGAAGAGAGAACAACGCCGGAGAGAUGUCCUAGUCCUCUUCUUCCACAGGAUGAUUCAGAAGAACAUCAAAAUGUCCAAUAUGAUCAUCAGGUAGAUGAAGAUAAGCUUUUAAAUCUGGGUAAAGAUCUGACCAAUAUGAAGGCUGAA
Molecule: long non-coding RNA, 210 nt
Organism: Bufo bufo (common toad)
Lineage: Eukaryota; Metazoa; Chordata; Amphibia; Anura; Bufonidae
Exons: 3
Source: RefSeq, a predicted model, not a curated record